UCUCCACACUAUUCUCUUUCAGAUUCUAGGGUUCUUGUCUUAGAUCGCUCAUCAAUGGUGCUCAAAAUCUAGUGGUGGUGUUUUAAUCUUGAUUUGUUUGUUCUUCGUUCAAAAAAAAUCCCAUCUGUUUGUUCACUAAUCAUAUUGAUUGCCCUUUUUUUGUGUGGGGUGGUGUUCUAGCAUUUGGAUAGAUGCGGUGCACUGGCAGAAGUUAUUUUUCUAUGGUGUGCACUUUUGAGCACCAAAGAAGAGGCGUAACCUCCAUAAAGAUUGACACCAAGGCUGCGCAAACAUGGAUUUACCCAGAAAUGUAGAUUGAAAGAGGAACCUUUGACCUUUGAUGCACUUUGUGUCUUAAAGCAUCUAUUUUCCAGGUUGUUUGAAGCUUGGCAUAGUAAAAGGCCUUCACUUGUUGAAGCUGUAAAGUUGUUGCUAGAUGAACAAAAUUUGGCUGUCCAUAAAGCACUUUUAGAGUUGAUUGUUGUCAUGGUUUCGCAUUGUUACAUGGUCGGUCCAUUCGGGGAGUUGUUUGUUGAAUAUCUUGUGCGCCACUGUGCUAUAUCAGAUAAGGAUAGAAAUGAUCUCGAAAGCUCAAAGGAAGUCGUUAGGCCAGCUGGCACAUAUUAUGUUCUCCCUUACAAGAGAUAUGAGGUGAAGAUUGGGGUGGUUUUGUCAAAUAGAGCUACGGGAAAUUUGUGAAAAAGGUCUACUUCUAGUGACGAUUACUGUUCUUGAAAUGGAGCAUGUCCUCUGGCCUUUUCUAUUGAAGAUGAUUAUUCCACAGGUCUACAUUGGUGUAGUUGCCACGGUUUGCAGAUGCAUCUCUGAGUUGUGUAGAUAGAGAUCUUCUCAUAGUUGUACAAUGCUUACUGAGUGUAAAGCUCGAGCUGAUAUUCCAAAUCUUGAGGAACUCUUUGCCCUGUUGGUGGUUCUCCUACAUGAUCCUGUUGCUCAGGAGCAGUAGACCGCUCAGAUUUUGACCGUUUUGUGCUACCUUGCACCUCUCUUUCCAAAAAAUAUCAACUUGUUUUGGCAAGAGGAGAUUCCAAAAAUGAAAGCCUAUGUGAGUGACACUGAUGACCUAAAGCAGGAUCCUUCAUAUCAAGAAACAUGGGAUGACAUGAUAAUCCAUUCACUAUUUUUUGGGGAAGUGGGGGAAGAUGGUAGUGGAAGCGACAAAGAAGGCCGAGGAUCCUGCUGGGGAUACGUGGCAGCUGUACUAUGUACGGCGGACUCAUCGAUGCAUGAUUUAAGAGUCAAGACCACGAUGUCAAGUCAGUGCUGCCUCACUCCACCAUAGAGAAAACCUUCAGUGGCAACCACAUCUCCACCACCACUACUCAGUUCGGAAUUUGGUUGUGUAUGAUGAGGUGAAAAGAAUGUAUCUUCCUUUUUAGGUCAAGGCUAAUUUUGAUUUCUAUUUAUGAUUUCUGAUUCUUCUUCCAUUGGGGUGUCUUCUCCAUUUCAGAUAUCAUUUUGAGGGCUGAUAAAACAAAAAUACUCUUUGCUCUCCCUGAUUUUGGCAAAAAUCCAUGUUUGCAAAAUCAAUCCAUGAAAAGGUAAUACUUCGUAAACUUUUUUUUUCAUGAUUUUGAUACCAUACCAGUUUUCUUUGCCUAAGUUGGGAAGGAAUGUGGUUGGAAUUCUUACAUUUCAGUGAUUUUUAAUGACAUUAACGAUCAUGACCAUUUGGUGAAGAACAAAAGGAAGCACACGAAAGUAAAGGGAAAAAAGAGAAAGAGAAGUUUGUGAUUGAGUUUUACAAGAACACAACAGAAAAAAUUAGUGGGUUUUGAGAAGUGAUGGGACCUCACUUUUGGCUAUCAUGUAUAUUGGUUUCUGAUGGGAUUUUAACUGAACAUGGUCAUAUGACCGAUUAUUGAACUUCAUUGUGGUAACAUUGCUUCAUCCUAACAAAAAAGA
Molecule: long non-coding RNA, 1923 nt
Organism: Rhododendron vialii
Lineage: Eukaryota; Viridiplantae; Streptophyta; Magnoliopsida; Ericales; Ericaceae
Exons: 11
Source: RefSeq, a predicted model, not a curated record